Molecule: long non-coding RNA, 368 nt
Filed under: Gossypium raimondii (Peruvian cotton)
Lineage: Eukaryota; Viridiplantae; Streptophyta; Magnoliopsida; Malvales; Malvaceae
Description: long non-coding RNA (GRAI_LNC002145)
Source: RNAcentral
AGCUAGCGAAUUUGGAGUAAGAAUCAAUGCUGUCGGUAUUACGGUAUAGUAGUUUCUUUGGAAAAAAAAUCAAAAAAACAAAAUUCGAAAAAAAAAUUUCAAAAAAAACAUUCAAAAAAAAAUUAUUUUCCAUUCAAACUCAAAAGAUUGGAUAUCAAGUUGAAAAAAAAAAUCGUGAAAAAAAAUUGUGAAAAAAAAAGAAAAGCUAGUUUUGAAAUUUUGUUGUUGUUUGCUGCCCCAAAUUUUUAGUCAUUACUACCUUCUAUUGUUUCGCCACACCCAACAUUUUCAUUUCUUUGUUUCAAGUUUACUUUCCUUUGUCCUACAAUAAUCUUACCAAGCCCAAAGAUCAAGUUUGUAAGCCGACC